Molecule: long non-coding RNA, 296 nt
Organism: Nycticebus coucang (slow loris)
Lineage: Eukaryota; Metazoa; Chordata; Mammalia; Primates; Lorisidae
Exons: 3
Source: RefSeq, a predicted model, not a curated record
ACUAAUAGUUCCCACAAACUCUACAGAUUUAUACUUUGUUUGGAAGCCUGAUCAGAGAGCUGGGGCUUCUGGUUUUGGAGGAGCUGAGAGAUGUGCACGUGCAGAUGAAGGACAUCUUGGUGUGUAUGGGGCAUAGUUACAAAGUUGGAUGCUUCUGACCUGUGUGGGGGUCAGGCUGUGAAGGUCACCAGGGGGACCACUUUUAAGAAGGCUCCAUCUGGCAGUGGGCAGUGAAUGAACAGUUGGGAACUUCAGUAUUUAACCAUGAGAAGGCAUACAGAAGAACUAGGGCAAUG